RNAcentral lists this ribosomal RNA (261 nucleotides) under uncultured bacterium. Its description in RNAcentral is "partial 16S ribosomal RNA". It matches the Rfam family "Bacterial small subunit ribosomal RNA", at positions 524 to 776 of the family's 1533-position model. The record is from RNAcentral.
UACGUAGGGGUGCGAGCGUUUGUCCGGAAUUAUUGGGCGUAAAGGGCUCGUAGGCGGUUUGUCGCGUCGGGAGUGAAAACCAGGUGCUUAACACCUGGCUUGCUUUCGAUACGGGCAGACUAGAGGUAUUCAGGGGAGGAACGGAAGUUCCUGGAUGUAGCGGUGAAAUGACGCAGAUAUCAGGAGGAACACCGGGUGGGCGAAGGCGGUUCUCUGGGAAUGACCUGACGCUGAGGAGCGAAAGUGUGGGGAGCGAACAGG